Long non-coding RNA from Triticum dicoccoides, 499 nucleotides. RefSeq lists it as uncharacterized. Lineage: Eukaryota; Viridiplantae; Streptophyta; Magnoliopsida; Poales; Poaceae. The transcript has 2 exons. The record is from RefSeq and is a predicted model, not a curated record.
CGAUUAGACACGUCCUUAAGACUUCCCCGCAGGGAGCGCGGCGUUUCGCGGGGAAGACCUUUUCUCCGCCGCCGUUGCUUCCUCCCUCGCUCGGAUCGCGGCGCCGGCACGCGCGAGGCCGGCGGUGGAUCACCACCGGCGCGCUUCCAGCGAGGUCGACCCCGAGUGCUCCAGCAGCCCAUAUGAUCGUCCACGUCGUCGCCGGCUUCCCCGAUGGAUCGCCGAGAGAAAAAAGCUCCCAAAGUGGUCGGACCCUUCCCUGGACCCUGCGCAAGCGGGAGCUACAUGCACCAGGUUGCCCUUUUUAAACAGGCACUGCAUUUAAAUCCCAAUUUGUACUGUCAUUACGGUGAGGAACAUGUAACCUCUAAUGCAAAAGACAGGUAUUACAGAGUGUGAGAGUAUAUGUAUCAGCCGAUAUUAUCUCUACUAUUGCUAUACACUGCAUUGUAUCACUCAAGAGUAGUAUCACAUAAGCUUGCUUAGUGUUUGCCCAAAA